CAGAGAAUACCAAACUCAAGGAUAAUGAUCCAUCAGCCGCUUGGUGGAGCUCAAGGUGGCCAGACCGAUAUCGACAUUCAGGCAAAUGAAAUGCUGCACCACAAGGCCAACCUAAACGGUUACCUCGCUUACCAGACUGGUCAAAGCCUGGAGAAGA
Molecule: long non-coding RNA, 157 nt
Organism: Brassica napus (rape)
Lineage: Eukaryota; Viridiplantae; Streptophyta; Magnoliopsida; Brassicales; Brassicaceae
Exons: 2
Source: RefSeq, a predicted model, not a curated record